RNAcentral lists this ribosomal RNA (480 nucleotides) under uncultured bacterium. RNAcentral describes it as "partial 16S ribosomal RNA". It matches the Rfam family "Bacterial small subunit ribosomal RNA", at positions 28 to 523 of the family's 1533-position model. The record is from RNAcentral.
GACGAACGCUGGCGGCGUGCCUAACACAUGCAAGUCGAGCGAUGACGCACCGGGUGGCGUGGGUUAGAGGCGAGAGGAUCAGGAAGACAUGAAGCCUAUGCCGUCCACUCUGGGAUAAAAACGGGAAACCAUGGCGAAUACGGGAUAUUUUCAACUGGUUCGGUCGCCUGUGAAAGAAAGUUGUUCGGUGGACGAGUACCCCGCGGCCUAGCAGCUUGAUGGUGAGGUCAGGGCUCACUAAGGCGACGACGGGUAGCCGGCCUGAGAGGGGGGACGGCCACACUGGGAGUGGGACACGGGCCAGACUCCUACGGGAGGGAGGAGUGGGGAAUAUUGGGCAAUGGAGGAAACUCUGACCCAGCGACGCCGCGUGAGGGAUGAAGGCCUUCGGGUUGUAAACCUCUUUCAGCAGGGAAUAAGCGAAAGUGAAGGUACCUGCAGAAGAAGCACCGGCUAACUAUGUGCCAGCCGCCGCAGUAA